Molecule: non-coding RNA, 628 nt
Organism: Heterocephalus glaber (naked mole-rat)
Lineage: Eukaryota; Metazoa; Chordata; Mammalia; Rodentia; Bathyergidae
Source: RefSeq, a predicted model, not a curated record
UGCAGGGCGUGGCCUCGGUGCGCGGCUGGGGCGGGGCCUCAAGGCUCCUGUCUUCUCCAGCGCCAGCCCCCUAGUCCGGCAAGUGGGCGUCGCCCGGCGACUGAGCUACUCAGAGUGGACCUUUCAGGCUCGGGGCGCAGGAAGCUGGGGACCCUCGUUAAGGUGCCCAUGCUCCCGCAGGUCUCAGCUUUCCCUAGAGGGCAGGACAAAAUGGCCAACACCCACAACUCUAAGGAGGAGAGGAUUAUUUUGGCUCACAGUUUUUAAAGGUUCCUGUCCAUGGCCACUGUCAGUACUGGCUCUGAUCCAGUCCAGCCGGUCCUGCCUUUUUGAGUCUUCUAAAUGGGUUACACGCUGACCCAAAAGUGUCAAGGGGCGAUUGGCCCGCUAGAGACAGAAGAGGAAGUAGAAAUAAAAGUGGUGGGCGGUGACUCCCUGUCUGUCAGACUUCCUGCCUGGGACCUAAGUGAAGCCUGCAGCCCCUUCCAGGCCCUGCUCAGUGGCACCACCAGCAGGACUCGAGAUUGGCUGCAAGGGAGACCAGAGUAUGACAGUCCAGGAACCUCCUGAAGCCAUUAAAAUGUCAUAGGACACUAUUUGAAUUUCUAAGUGUGACUUUUUUCCCAAC